GGGGAUUUAGUUUAGCGGCAUAAACACCUGCCUUGCAAGCAGGCAGUAGCCGGUACCCAUAAAAAAAAAUCCCUA
RNAcentral lists this transfer RNA (75 nucleotides) under Cavia porcellus (domestic guinea pig). It matches the Rfam family "tRNA". Rfam says of the family: Transfer RNA (tRNA) molecules are approximately 80 nucleotides in length. Their secondary structure includes four short double-helical elements and three loops (D, anti-codon, and T loops). Further hydrogen bonds mediate the characteristic L-shaped molecular structure. tRNAs have two regions of fundamental functional importance: the anti-codon, which is responsible for specific mRNA codon recognition, and the 3' end, to which the tRNAs corresponding amino acid is attached (by aminoacyl-tRNA synthetases). tRNAs cope with the degeneracy of the genetic code in two manners: having more than one tRNA (with a specific anti-codon) for a particular amino acid; and 'wobble' base-pairing, i.e. permitting non-standard base-pairing at the 3rd anti-codon position. Lineage: Eukaryota; Metazoa; Chordata; Mammalia; Rodentia; Caviidae. The record is from Rfam by way of RNAcentral.